This 213-nucleotide ribosomal RNA is filed under the name uncultured Actinomycetales bacterium. RNAcentral describes it as "partial 16S ribosomal RNA". It matches the Rfam family "Bacterial small subunit ribosomal RNA", at positions 118 to 334 of the family's 1533-position model. The record is from RNAcentral. Lineage: Bacteria; Bacillati; Actinomycetota; Actinomycetes; Actinomycetales.
GGUGGUAUCUGCCUUGCACUCUGGGAUAAGCUUGGGAAACUGGGUCUAAUACCGGAUAGGAACCGUCUUUAGUGUGGUGGUUGGAAAGUUUUUUCGGUGCAAGAUGAGCUCGCGGCCUAUCAGCUUGUUGGUGGGGUAAUGGCCUACCAAGGCGUCGACGGGUAGCCGGCCUGAGAGGGUGUACGGCCACAUUGGGACUGAGAUACGGCCCAG